UCUUGAGAGCGGCGGACGGGUGAGUAAUGCCUAGGAAUCUGCCUGGUAGUGGGGGAUAACGUCCGGAAACGGACGCUAAUACCGCAUACGUCCUACGGGAGAAAGCAGGGGACCUUCGGGCCUUGCGCUAUCAGAUGAGCCUAGGUCGGAUUAGCUAGUUGGUGAGGUAAUGGCUCACCAAGGCGACGAUCCGUAACUGGUCUGAGAGGAUGAUCAGUCACACUGGAACUGAGACACGGUCCAGACUCCUACGGGAGGCAGCAGUGGGGAAUAUUGGACAAUGGGCGAAAGCCUGAUCCAGCCAUGCCGCGUGUGUGAAGAAGGUCUUCGGAUUGUAAAGCACUUUAAGUUGGGAGGAAGGGUUGUAGAUUAAUACUCUGCAAUUUUGACGUUACCGACAGAAUAAGCACCGGCUAACUCUGUGCCAGCAGCCGCGGUAAUACAGAGGGUGCAAGCGUUAAUCGGAAUUACUGGGCGUAAAGCGCGCGUAGGUGGUUUGUUAAGUUGGAUGUGAAAGCCCCGGGCUCAACCUGGGAACUGCAUUCAAAACUGACAAGCUAGAGUAUGGUAGAGGGUGGUGGAAUUUCCUGUGUAGCGGUGAAAUGCGUAGAUAUAGGAAGGAACACCAGUGGCGAAGGCGACCACCUGGACUGAUACUGACACUGAGGUGCGAAAGCGU
This 679-nucleotide ribosomal RNA is filed under the name Pseudomonas sp. EECC-395. RNAcentral describes it as "bacterial SSU rRNA". It matches the Rfam family "Bacterial small subunit ribosomal RNA", at positions 87 to 762 of the family's 1533-position model. The record is from RNAcentral. Lineage: Bacteria; Pseudomonadati; Pseudomonadota; Gammaproteobacteria; Pseudomonadales; Pseudomonadaceae.